RNAcentral lists this ribosomal RNA (253 nucleotides) under uncultured bacterium. Its description in RNAcentral is "partial 16S ribosomal RNA". It matches the Rfam family "Bacterial small subunit ribosomal RNA", at positions 524 to 776 of the family's 1533-position model. The record is from RNAcentral.
UACAGAGGUGGCAAGCGUUGUUCGGAAUUACUGGGCGUAAAGGGCUCGUAGGUGGCCAACUAAGUCAGACGUGAAAUCCCUCAGCUUAACUGGGGAACUGCGUCUGAUACUGGAUGGCUUGAGUUUGGGAGAGGGAUGCGGAAUUCCAGGUGUAGCGGUGAAAUGCGUAGAUAUCUGGAGGAACACCGGUGGCGAAGGCGGCAUCCUGGACCAAUACUGACACUGAGGAGCGAAAGCCAGGGGAGCAAACGGG